RNAcentral lists this long non-coding RNA (204 nucleotides) under Pan troglodytes (chimpanzee). Its description in RNAcentral is "lncRNA (ENSPTRG00000053821.1)". The record is from RNAcentral. Lineage: Eukaryota; Metazoa; Chordata; Mammalia; Primates; Hominidae.
AUGGGCUUAUGUAUUCUUCGUAGGUUGGUCUCAGAUUCACCCCAGUAUGUUCGUUCUGGUGCCCAUGCUGAAAGGAUGGCAGCUAUGGAGCAGAAACUCUUUACGUGGCAAACAAAAGAGGAACCCAGACAUGCUCUAUUUGCAAACCGACUGCAUGAAACGAAAAGCACGGUAAUUCUGAAGCUGUUGGCUUGGAUGAAAUGA